UAGCAUAUCACUAAGCGGAGGAAAAGAAACUAACUAGGAUUCCCCCAGUAACUGCGAGUGAAGAGGGAAGAGCUCAUCAUUGGAAUCUGGCAGCGUUGCGCUGUCCGAGUUGUAGAUGAGAAGAGUAGGCCAUCUGGGCUGCAUGGUGUCCAAGUACAAUAGGCCGUCAGUGGGACAUCAUAGAGGGUGACAAUCCCGUCCUUGACACCAAUGUACGAGUCCUUUACGAUGCCUAUCUCGGAGAGUCGAGCAGUUUGGGAUUUGCUGCUUAAACAUGGGAGGUAGAUUCCUUCCAAAGCUAAAUACAGGCAAGAGACCGAUAGAGAACAAGUACCGCAAGGGAAAGAUGAAAUAGAACUCUGUGAAGGGAGUCAAAAGACGUGAAAUUGUUGCGAGAGAAGCGAUUCAAGUCAGCGUAGCUGGGCCCAUCAAGCCUCGCGCUUUGGACCAGCUUUGCCAGCGGUCUUGUCCCUAGAGACUUGACUAAGGUGCCCUGCCCGGUCUAACGGGCAGACCUCCCCUGGAGGCCAGUGGCAUGGCUGGUGGAAUGGCUUGCAAUCGACCCGUCUUGAAACACGGACCAAGGAGUCUAACAUGCAUGCGAGUAUAAGGGUGGCAAACCCGUAUGCGCAAAGAAAGUGAUAGCCUUUUAUGGCCGAGAAUGACCUGAUGACCAGACAAGCAAUAUUAUGUCCCUCGUACGGUCAUUGCCCAAGUCCCAUGGUCAGAUCCCAUGGACAUGGAGUUGGAGCGUGCAUGCUAGGACCCGAAAGAUGGUGAACUAUGCCUGGACAAAGCGAAGCCAAAGGAAACUCUGGUGGAGGCUUGUAGCGAUUCUGACGUGCAAAUCGAUCGUCUGAUCUGGGUAUAGGGGCGAAAGACUAAUCGAACCAUCUCAUAGCUGGUUCCUGCAG
Molecule: ribosomal RNA, 914 nt
Filed under: Cantharellus albus
Lineage: Eukaryota; Fungi; Basidiomycota; Agaricomycetes; Cantharellales; Hydnaceae
Description: partial large subunit ribosomal RNA
Rfam family: Eukaryotic large subunit ribosomal RNA
Source: RNAcentral